AUUGAACGCUGGCGGCAGGCUUAACACAUGCAAGUCGAGCGGGGUGAUGGUGCUUGCACCAUCACUUAGCGGCGGACGGGUGAGUAAUGCUUAGGAAUCUGCCUAUUAGUGGGGGACAACAUCUCGAAAGGGAUGCUAAUACCGCAUACGUCCUACGGGAGAAAGCAGGGGAUCACUUGUGACCUUGCGCUAAUAGAUGAGCCUAAGUCGGAUUAGCUAGUUGGUGGGGUAAAGGCCUACCAAGGCGACGAUCUGUAGCGGGUCUGAGAGGAUGAUCCGCCACACUGGGACUGAGACACGGCCCAGACUCCUACGGGAGGCAGCAGUGGGGAAUAUUGGACAAUGGGGGGAACCCUGAUCCAGCCAUGCCGCGUGUGUGAAGAAGGCCUUAUGGUUGUAAAGCACUUUAAGCGAGGAGGAGGCUCUUUUGGUUAAUACCUAAGAUGAGUGGACGUUACUCGCAGAAUAAGCACCGGCUAACUCUGUGCCAGCCGCCGCAGUAA
Molecule: ribosomal RNA, 503 nt
Filed under: uncultured bacterium
Lineage: Bacteria
Description: partial 16S ribosomal RNA
Rfam family: Bacterial small subunit ribosomal RNA
Source: RNAcentral